CUGCUGCCAGCGCAGGGAGGAGAGUGAGGGGUGGUGCCAGGGGGAGAGUGCGGAACAGGAGAGCCAGGCUGGCUUCCUCCAUCUUCACCUUUACCACAAGCCACGGCAGCAUCCUUGCCUGUCUCCCAGGGACACGCAGAAGCUUGAAACAGCGUCAGCCAGGGGCCUUCAUUUGAGCAAAGCUUCUGUAACCCAAGGAGGGCCCUCACGAAGGAGAAGCAGGAACUCCCAGAGCGAUGGCCUUUCACACAAGCUGCACAUCCCAGGCCGAUCAGUUAGCAUGGGUGUUGGAGCAGCCUGUGUCUGCAAACAGCCCUGGCUAUCUCCAGCAUGACACCUGACCCCAUACACAGCUCCCUCUCUGCUCCAGAAGUUAGCCCUGCCCUGUAUUACGGCUGCAAAGCAGGGACCCAGCAGCAUGCAUCAGCCCUGGAUGGAUGCAGGAGGUAAGAUGAGGGAAUGCACCCAACUGCGCAUGAGGCCUCUGGCUAAAGCCCAGUGCACGCUCUGCCCCGGGAAAGGAUGGCCCAGAUGUGCUGCAGAAGCUUGGAAACAGACACGUAUUUAAUGCAUGUA
Long non-coding RNA from Trachemys scripta elegans, 576 nucleotides. RefSeq lists it as uncharacterized. The record is from RefSeq and is a predicted model, not a curated record. The transcript has 3 exons. Lineage: Eukaryota; Metazoa; Chordata; Testudines; Emydidae.